Molecule: long non-coding RNA, 398 nt
Filed under: Gallus gallus (chicken)
Lineage: Eukaryota; Metazoa; Chordata; Aves; Galliformes; Phasianidae
Source: RNAcentral
CGGGGUUGUAUGUAUCGCUUGACCAGCAGCGACCCGAGCUCAUGUUUAGAAUUUUGGCCAGCAGCUUUGGGUCAAGCCCUAAUCUGAUUCCAAGAUUCAUAGUCUCAGCAGUUCCAAUCAUACUGAUGGCCAAAAGCAUGUUGUUACAAAUCUUUGCAGCCUGUCCAGUUCCAACCUCUCCACAGUAGACUACAUUGGAACCCAUGCAUAUUAGCAACUCUUUGGCAGCAUCAAAUUCCUGUUCCAUUCCACCAACCAUGAAAGUAAGGUUUCCAGCUCGAGCAGCUCCAACACCUCCAGAAACUGGUGCAUCCAUGAAAACAGCUCCCAUUUUUUCAACUGCUUUAGCUAAUUCUUUCGAGACUGAAGGGUCUAUAGUACUGGAAUCUAUUAAUAAU